Lemur catta (Ring-tailed lemur) is the source of this 451-nucleotide long non-coding RNA. RefSeq lists it as uncharacterized. The record is from RefSeq and is a predicted model, not a curated record. The transcript is spliced from 3 exons. Lineage: Eukaryota; Metazoa; Chordata; Mammalia; Primates; Lemuridae.
UUUUUUUUUCUCUCCUUUUAACGGUCUUUUUGCAUCAGUGCAAUGGCUAUGCCGGCUCUCCUGAAUUUAGCGGAUGAAAUUCGGUUGUCUACGCUAGGUUAGGUUCAGCUAUGUAGGGUAGUAUUUGGAUUACAGAGAAGGGUUGGUUGCAGUGGAAAUAAACUGCAUUUUAUAGACCGAUGGCAGCUCGAAAAGAGCAAUGCCAUUUUGGAAAUCUAGUUCUUGGCCACUGUACGUUUGGGCACGACAGCGCCGUUGAGUAGACACAAAAUGAAGGACAAGGAGAUGAUUUUCCACACACACUACUUGGAAAAUCAAAAUAGAACCCCAAGCCCCUAGCACUUUAGAAUGGGAAAUUUGAACAUAGGAGCACACAGGCACAGAGGAAACAGCAAGAAGGCAGCCAUUUGCAAGCCAAGGAAAGAGGCCUCAGAAGAAACCAAAACUACCA